GACGAACGCUGGCGGCGUGCUUAACACAUGCAAGUCGAACGGUAAGGCCCUUCGGGGUACACGAGUGGCGAACGGGUGAGUAACACGUGGGUGAUCUGCCCUGCACUUCGGGAUAAGCCUGGGAAACUGGGUCUAAUACCGGAUAGGACCCUGGGAUGCAUGUCCUGGGGUGGAAAGCUUUUGCGGUGUGGGAUGGGCCCGCGGCCUAUCAGCUUGUUGGUGGGGUGAUGGCUUACCAAGGCGACGACGGGUAGCCGGCCUGAGAGGGUGACCGGCCACACUGGGACUGAGAUACGGCCCAGACUCCUACGGGAGGCAGCAGUGGGGAAUAUUGCACAAUGGGCGCAAGCCUGAUGCAGCGACGCCGCGUGAGGGAUGACGGCCUUCGGGUUGUAAACUUCUUUCAGCACCGACGAAGCGCAAGUGACGGUAGGUGCAGAAGAAGGACCGGCCAACUACGUGCCAGCCGCCGCAGUAA
This 478-nucleotide ribosomal RNA is filed under the name uncultured bacterium. Its description in RNAcentral is "partial 16S ribosomal RNA". It matches the Rfam family "Bacterial small subunit ribosomal RNA", at positions 28 to 523 of the family's 1533-position model. The record is from RNAcentral.